CGGACGGGUGAGUAACGCGUGAGAAUCUGCCUCCAGGUCGGGGACAACAGCGGGAAACUGCUGCUAAUCCCGGAUAAGCCCUAGGGUAAAAGAUUUAUUGCCUGGAGAGGAGCUCGCGUCCGAUUAGCUAGAUGGUGAGGUAAGAGCUCCCCAUGGCGACGAUCGGUAGCUGUUCUGAGAGGAAGAUCAGCCACACUGGGACUGAGACACGGCCCAGACUCCUACGGGAGGCAGCAGUGGGGAAUUUUCCGCAAUGGGCGAAAGCCUGACGGAGCAAGACCGCGUGCGGGAAGAAGGCCCUUGGGUCGUAAACCGCUUUUCUUAGGGAAGAAGCUCUGACGGUACCUAAGGAAUCAGCCUCGGCUAACUCCGUGCCAGCAGCCGCGGUAAUACGGAGGAGGCAAGCGUUAUCCGGAAUUAUUGGGCGUAAAGCGUCCGCAGGCGGCUUAUCAAGUCUGCUGUCAAAGACUGGGGCUCAACCCUGGGGAGGCAGUGGAAACUGAGAAGCUAGAGUGCAGUAGGGGUAGAGGGAAUUCCCAGUGUAGCGGUGAAAUGCGUAGAGAUUGGGAAGAACACCGGUGGCGAAAGCGCUCUACUGGGCUGUAACUGACGCUGAGGGACGAAAGCUAGGGGAGCGAAAGGGAUUAGAUACCCCUGUAGU
RNAcentral lists this ribosomal RNA (661 nucleotides) under uncultured cyanobacterium. RNAcentral describes it as "bacterial SSU rRNA". It matches the Rfam family "Bacterial small subunit ribosomal RNA", at positions 99 to 794 of the family's 1533-position model. The record is from RNAcentral. Lineage: Bacteria; Bacillati; Cyanobacteriota.